This 460-nucleotide ribosomal RNA is filed under the name uncultured bacterium. RNAcentral's name for it is "partial 16S ribosomal RNA". It matches the Rfam family "Bacterial small subunit ribosomal RNA", at positions 338 to 795 of the family's 1533-position model. The record is from RNAcentral.
CCUACGGGAGGCAGCAGUGAGGAAUAUUGGUCAAUGGACGAGAGUCUGAACCAGCCAAGUAGCGUGAAGGAUGACUGCCCUAUGGGUUGUAAACUUCUUUUAUAUGGGAAUAAAAUGUUCCACGUGUGGGAUUUUGUAUGUACCAUAUGAAUAAGGAUCGGCUAACUCCGUGCCAGCAGCCGCGGUAAUACGGAGGAUCCGAGCGUUAUCCGGAUUUAUUGGGUUUAAAGGGAGCGUAGGUGGAUUGUUAAGUCAGUUGCGAAAGUUUGCGGCUCAACCGUAAAAUUGCAGUUGAAACUGGCAGUCUUGAGUACAGUAGAGGUGGGCGGAAUUCGUGGUGUAGCGGUGAAAUGCUUAGAUAUCACGAAGAACUCCGAUUGCGAAGGCAGCUCACUGGACUGCAACUGACACUGAGGCUCGAAAGUGUGGGUAUCAAACAGGAUUAGAUACCCUAGUAGUC